RNAcentral lists this ribosomal RNA (433 nucleotides) under uncultured bacterium. Its description in RNAcentral is "partial 16S ribosomal RNA". It matches the Rfam family "Bacterial small subunit ribosomal RNA", at positions 29 to 507 of the family's 1533-position model. The record is from RNAcentral.
AGCGAACGCUGGCGGCAUGCCUAACACAUGCAAGUCGAACGAGACCUUCGGGUCUAGUGGCGCACGGGUGCGUAACGCGUGGGAACCUGCCCUUAGGUUCGGAAUAACUCCCCGAAAGGGGUGCUAAUACCGGAUAAUGUCUUCGGACCAAAGAUUUAUCGCCUUUGGAUGGGCCCGCGUUGGAUUAGCUAGUUGGUAGGGUAAAAGCCUACCAAGGCGACGAUCCAUAGCUGGUCUGAGAGGAUGAUCAGCCACACUGGGACUGAGACACGGCCCAGACUCCUACGGAAAGCAGCAGUGGGGAAUAUUGGACAAUGGGCGAAAGCCUGAUCCAGCAAUGCCGCGUGAGUGAUGAGGGCCUUAGGGUUGUAAAGCUCUUUUACCCGGGAUGAUAAUGACAGUACCGGGAGAAUAAGCUCCGGCUAACUCCGUG